Molecule: ribosomal RNA, 439 nt
Filed under: uncultured bacterium
Lineage: Bacteria
Description: partial 16S ribosomal RNA
Rfam family: Bacterial small subunit ribosomal RNA
Source: RNAcentral
CUACGGGCGGCAGCAGUGAGGAAUAUUGCACAAUGGGGGGAACCCUGAUGCAGCAACGCCGCGUGGAGGAUGACGCAUUUCGGUGUGUAAACUCCUUUUAUAUGUCAAGAAAAUGACGGUAGCAUAUGAAUAAGCACCGGCUAACUCCGUGCCAGCAGCCGCGGUAAUACGGAGGGUGUAAGCGUUACUCGGAAUCACUGGGCGUAAAGGACGCGUAGGCGGGUUGGAAAGUCAGGUGUGAAAUCCUACAGCUUAACUGUAGAACUGCACUUGAAACUUCUAAUCUAGAGUAUGGGAGGGGGAGAUGGAAUUAGUGGUGUAGGGGUAAAAUCCGUAGAUAUCACUAGGAAUACCUAAAGCGAAGGCGAUCUCCUGGAACAUUACUGACGCUAAGGCGUGAAAGCGUGAGGAGCAAACAGGAUUAGAUACCCUAGUAGUC